GUGUCAGCAGCCGCGGUAAUACGUAGGGUGCAAGCGUUAUCCGGAUUUAUUGGGCGUAAAGGGCUCGUAGGCGGUUCGUCGCGUCCGGUGUGAAAGUCCAUCGCUUAACGGUGGAUCCGCGCCGGGUACGGGCGGGCUUGAGUGCGGUAGGGGAGACUGGAAUUCCCGGUGUAACGGUGGAAUGUGUAGAUAUCGGGAAGAACACCAAUGGCGAAGGCAGGUCUCUGGGCCGUUACUGACGCUGAGGAGCGAAAGCGUGGGGAGCGAACAGGAUUAGAUACCCGCGUAGUCC
RNAcentral lists this ribosomal RNA (292 nucleotides) under uncultured prokaryote. RNAcentral describes it as "partial 16S ribosomal RNA". It matches the Rfam family "Bacterial small subunit ribosomal RNA", at positions 505 to 796 of the family's 1533-position model. The record is from RNAcentral.